RNAcentral lists this long non-coding RNA (16008 nucleotides) under Populus trichocarpa (black cottonwood). RNAcentral describes it as "long non-coding RNA (PTRI_LNC003562)". The record is from RNAcentral. Lineage: Eukaryota; Viridiplantae; Streptophyta; Magnoliopsida; Malpighiales; Salicaceae.
ACUUUUCGUCGGUCUAGCUAGAAGGUUUAGAGAAAGUAAGGGUAUUAUAAUAAACACAUUUGAAGAGCUGGAAUCUCAUGCGAUUGACUCCUUUUCUAAGGCCAAGGGUAAUACCCCUCCGGUAUAUCCAGUGGGUCCCAUUUUAAACCUUAAUAGAGAUGCUGAUUGUGACGAGGAGUCUGAUAAAUACAAAGACAUCAAGCAAUGGCUCGAUGAGCAGCCUCUAUCCUCGGUAGUGUAUCUAUGCUUCGGAAGCAUGGGGAGUUUCGGUGCGGAUCAAGUGAAGGAAAUUGCUUGCGGGCUAGAGCAGAGUGGGCAUCGAUUCUUGUGGUCUCUACGUAAACCACCACCGAAAGGCGAGAUGGAACUUCAUCCAAGCGAUUACACUGAUCCUCGGGAUGUCUUACCUGAAGGGUUUUUGGAUCGGACGACUAACAUUGGAAAAAUAAUUGGAUGGGCCCCACAAACAGAUAUUUUGGCCCAUCCAUCUGUAGGAGGGUUUGUUUCGCACUGUGGAUGGAACUCUGUAUUGGAAAGCAUAUGGUUUGGCGUUCCAAUUGCCACAUGGCCAUUACAUGCAGAGCAACAACUUAAUGCUUUUAUGUUAAUUGUUGAGCUCGGAUUGCGAGUGGAAAUUAAAAUGGAUUAUAGAAGAGAAUUUAACUGGGAUGGUAGUGAAAAUGUCAUUAGUGCCGGGGAGAUCGAGAGAGGAGUAAGGUGUUUAAUGGAGCUUUGCGAUGAGAAGAGGGAGAAGUUGAAGGAGAUGAGUGGAAAGAGCAGGAAGGCUUUGGAGAACGGUGGAUCCUCGUUCACUUGGUUAGGUCGUUUCAUUCAAGAUACGGUAGACCACCUGCCAUGAUUAAACUGUACUCUCUUCGUGUUAUUUAAUAAAACGCUUGAGUCUUUCUAGGGCAGGACCUAACUUUAUAUAUUCUAUUUGGGUUGGCAAUCCAGCAAGACCAAAUCUCAAUAUAUAUUAAAAAAAAUACAAAAAUAUUAAAAAUAUUAAUUUGAAGUAAAGAAAACAAUAAAAAAUAUUUAAAAAAUUUUCAAAGCAUUUUUUACACCAAAACCAAACAUGUUUUAAUAAGAAAAUUCAACUCAAUAAAAAAAAUUAUCAUCACCUAAAGUUUGUAUAAUGUAAAACAAAAUCAUAUUAAUUUAUUUUCUCAUUACAGUAUGAAAACAAAUCAAUAAGAGAAAAGAAAAGAAAAUUCAAGAGGAAGAUAAUUUUUUUUAUUUGUUAAAAAUUAUUUUUUAUAUAAUCAUGUCAAAUUAAUACAAAAACAUCUUAAUAUGAAUUAAGGAAAAAUAAUAAUUUAAAGUAAAGAAAAAAAUAAAAAAAUUAUCAAAUUUUUUUCAAAGCAUUGUUGAAAAACAAAAACAAAAAUGGUUUAAUAAGAAAAUUCAACCCAACCUAAAACUAAAAAAAACUUUAUCAUCACCUAAUUUUUUUAGAAUAUAAAAAAACAAUAUUGGGUUCAGCUGCCCUGGCAAACCCAAGCCAGACCCAACCUCUUUUUUGGCACUUUUUGGAAGUGUUUUGAAUCUAACUUGUCAGCCCGGCCCAAUAGUGUUGGGCCCAGCUACCAAGCCCCACCUAACAACUUUUUGCAGAGAAGGCAACGCCCUCAGCCACAAUUUUUUACCAAAAACACAGAUGAGAAUCGUCUCUUAAGGCGCUGCAAUAUUGUCCACAUUGAAAGCAAUCUAUACCUAUAAUGUCGUCUACAAUGCAAUGUGUCUGUGUCCACUCCCAUAUGUUUUGAAAGAGCCCAGCAGACAGUAAAUGCAACUACCUGUUGGAUCUUAUAUAAUACAAAAAUAUAAAGUAUAUUAUGUGAACGAAAAAAUUAUUUGGAAUUAUAAUUUUUCUGAAAGCUUUUAUUUUGAAAAACAAAUUCAAGAGGGUUCUUUGAAACCCUCGGAUUGGAUAUUUUGACCAAUAAAAAACAUUUCACUUCACCAAAAAGCAAAACAAAAGUUUUUAACACUGAUACAACCCUAUCCAUGAGAAUCGAUUAAAUUUUCAGGACAAGUUUGUUUAAAACAAACAUCAAAAUGAUUUUUUGAAUAGCUUUACAACUUAUCUUUCACACAGCCUUGUCCCUAAAGAAACCUAAACACUUGAGAACAUGAUCAAACUGAGAGGCAAUCCAACAAACACAUAAUAGGGUUGAUGCAGAGCUGGCAACCUUUAUAUAAAGGUUUGUGGGCAAAGAAAUAUGCUGAUGUGAUACCCCUCCUAGAGGUCAAGAUCAUAAGAUGUGACUCUAGUAAGCAAAAGUAAAGAGUCGUCAAAGCUUACUAUCAAAGAUUCAAAUUUUUUAGAAAAGGAAAACUCCAUAAGAAAAGGAGACAUAUAUUUCUUAGGUAAGUAUACAUGCAUUUCAAUCAUGAUACAUUGCUUCCAUCAUUUGAUAGAUCGGUGUCUCACCAUCACCUCUUUUUGAGUGCGUUAUUGGGCCCUCAUCAUUCAGCUAGUACACUUUACAGCCCUACCUUUUUUUUUCCUUUUGAGUAUGCCUUCGAGCCCUCCACCACUUAAGUUUUGUACUUUGCAGCCCUACCUUUUUCAAUUUGAACAUGCUUUCGAGCUCUCCACCAUAUUAGGUUUUGCGCUUUACAGAUCUAUAUUUUUUCCUUCGAGUGCGUCUUCAAGCCCUCAACCAUCUUGAGUCAGGCAUUUUCUAACCAAACUUUCUUUUGAGUGCGCCUAAGAGCCCUCGACUACCAUGAAUAGUGCGUUUUCAAACCUCUUUCAAUUCUUUUAGAAAAUACUUUUAAAAUGUAAAAAUAACAUGGCGUUAUCUUUUUAUUAAUUUUCUCAUCCUCUAGUGGUUUCAAGGGUUUUGUACUGUAUAAAAGGACUUUUAUAAUAUUUAGGAAUGUGGUUAAAAUAUUGUUCGGUAAAAAUUUAAAUUUAAUUUUUUAUAUUUUUUAAUUGGUUUAAUGUAUUACUAUUAAAAAUAAAUUUAAAUUUUUUAUAUUAUACCCUAUACAGGACUUCCUUUAUACGCAUAACCAAAAGGGCAUCGAUUGUAUUUUUGUACAGAGAAGUAUAUAAAGCAAUUAAUGAAAAACACGUACCCCUAAAUCGAAAUACUUCAUAGUUGUUUUCUCCAUACAAUUUUCUCCUUUUCGUUUUAUUUUCAAGUAUGUUUAAAAACAAAUUUUAUAUAUUUCUUUGUCUUGAAGAAGAUACUGUUCUUGCAAAUUAAAAAAAAAAAAAACUCAUCCUGCAUUUACAAAGCAAGAAAAUAAUGUCUUUGAAUAACAAGUAGUUUUUAUUGAAGAUCAUGUAUUAUCUUAAUUUACAAAAUCAGGAUGUAUCUCCAUCAGAAAGGAGAAAACCAUUCCUUCCUAAGUUAUUUUAUAUUAAAAUAAAUAUUUUUUUAUUUUUAAAAUAUUAUUUUUAAUAUCAACACAUCAAAACAUUCUAAAAUAAUAAAAAAAUAAUUUUUAACAAAAACAAAAUUCAAAAUUCAAAAUUCAAAAAAUCAUAAUUUAAUCCGCAUUACCAAAGAUAACCUUCAUUUUCUUUUUCAAACGUUAGUAUGCAUGAUUUCUGCAAUGCCUUUUAUUUGUCAGGUAAAGUGAAACUUUCUACGCAAAGAAACUUUUAGUAAAUAAAGAAAGUGGAGAUGGGCCGGGCUUUCCUCGUACAAACUUGGAGCACAUCGCAUGUGGAUACGAUCAGGAGAAUGUUGGAUCGGUUAAGCCCAUAUUUUGUCUUAGGCCUAACCAAUGCUUAUUUGAUUAUUAGAAAUUUGAAAUUACAUUAUAUAUGUAAAUCGAACUAAUCGUAUUAUUACUUUGCAUUAUUUCUAAAAAUAUCAUCUUUCCUUCAAGAACUGUCCCUUUUCACUAAGGGCAUUUAUUUAUUUAUUUUUAUUAAAAUAUAGGUGUUAUUUGGUUCUAGAUUAAAUUUUUUUUAAAGAAAUUCUUAGAGUUGAUGUGUCUAGGUGUGACCUAGUUAAUAGGGUUAUUAACCAAGUUGUUUUGAGUGUAUAUAUAUAACUUGAACUUGGCCCAGAUCAAAUUUAAAAUCCUUGCUUUUUAAAUUAAUUUAUCAAGUUAAAUUAAGUUUAAUCAUUAUGACAUUUGGUUUUUUUUCUUGAUUUAAAGUUCAAGAUUAGUGUUUAUUUUCUAACUGAUACAAGAUGAUGUGUUUUUAAAGUUAUUCGUAACCUAAAUUUAAUCUCUAUUAACAUAAAUCCUAAAGCAUCAAUAUAUAUAUAUAUAUAUAUAUAGAAAAUUCAGCCCAAAAUAUGUAGUAAAAAACGUUGUCUUCUACUUUGAAUUUCAUAAAAGAGAUCUAAAUUUAAAUUUCUGACAGGGACGGCAUCCCAUUUUUUUGGGUCUUCUUGACGAAUUGUAAAAGCAGUCCACAAUCACAGCAAAGCCAUGACCUCACUCUUAUUCUUGUCCUGCUCGUAUAUAUUUUUGAACAAUAUAUUGCCAAUCUCAAGUCCACUUAAUUACAGCCACAAACAGUGCCUUUAAAAAGGAUACGAAAAUCAGUCUUUUACAUGCAAUCCCACCUUGAAAUCCUCUAGCAAACAAAGAAAAAAAAAAGGAGCUCAGUAGCAGAAUGAAGAAAGCUGAGCUGGUCUUCAUACCAACACCAGGUAUAAGCCACCUCGUAUCCACAGUAGAGGUAGCAAAGCUUCUUGUAGACCGUGAUGGGAGGCUUUCAAUCACCUUCCUCAUCAUGAAACUACGUUCUGACCCCAAGAUUGAUAGGUUUAUAAAUUCAGUGAGUACAGCCUGUAAUCGUAUCCGGUUCAUUGACUCCUAAAGAUGAGCCUGAUCCAAACCAACCUAGGAAGUUUCUCUUUUCUUUGAUUGAAUCCCAGAAACCCCAUGUCAAAGAAGAAGUCUUUAAGCUUGUGAGUCAGUCUGAGUCAAGCCCUGACUCGCCUUCUCUUGCUGGGUUUGUUCUUGAUAUGUUUUGUACAUCUAUGAUAGAUGUGGCCAAUGAAUUUGGUGUUCCCUCAUAUAUUUUCCUUACGUCAGGUGCAGCUUUUCUUGGCCUUCAAUUUUAUGUUCAGGCUCUUCACGAUGAGCAGAAAGUUGACCCUACUGAGUUCAAGGGCUCGGAUGCUGAGUUGGUCAUGCCGUGUUUGGCAAAUCCUCUUCCAGCUAAGGUCUUGCCUUCUGUUAUGCUUAACAAAGAGUGGCUGCCAAAUAUGCUCAGUCAAGCUAGAAGGUUUAGAGAAAGUAAGGGUAUUAUAAUAAACACAUUUGAAGAGCUGGAAUCUCAUGCGAUCGACUCCUUUUCUAUAGGUAAUAGCCCUCCGGUAUAUCCAGUGGGUCCCAUUUUAAACCUUAAUAGAGAUGGUGAUUGUGACGAGGAGUCUGAUAAAUACAAAGAUAUCAAGCAAUGGCUCGAUGAUCAGCCUCUAUCCUCGGUAGUGUAUCUAUGCUUCGGAAGCAUGGGGAGUUUCGGUGCGGAUCAAGUGAAGGAAAUUGCUUGUGCGCUAGAGCAGAGCGGCCAUCGAUUCUUGUGGUCUCUACGUAAACCACCACAGAAAGGUAAGAUGGAACCUCCAAGCGAUUACACUAAUCCUCGGGAUGCCUUACCUGAAGGAUUUUUGGAUCGGACGGCUAACAGUGGAAAAGUAAUUGGAUGGGCUCCACAGACAGAUAUUUUGGCCCAUCCAUCUGUAGGAGGGUUUGUAUCGCACUGUGGAUGGAACUCUAUAUUGGAAAGCAUAUGGUUUGGCGUUCCAAUUGCCGCGUGGCCAUUAUAUGCAGAGCAACAACUUAAUGCUUUUCAAAUAAUUGUGGAGUUAGGGUUGGGAGUGGAGAUUAAAAUGGAUUAUAGAAAGGACUUGUACUCGGAUGGUAAUGAAAAUGUCAUUAGUGCCGGGGAGAUCGAGAGAGGAGUGAGGUGUUUAAUGGAGCUUUGCGAUGAGAAGAGGGAGAGGUUGAAGGAGAUGAGUGGAAAGGGCAAGAAGGCUUUGGAGAACGGUGGAUCCUCGUUCACUUGGUUAGGUCGUUUCAUUCAAGAUACGGUGGAUCAACUGCCAUGAUUAAAUUGUACUCUCUUCAUCUUGUUUAAUACAAAGUCUUUCAGCUGAUAUGUUGUCUUUCUAUAAUAUAUAUGUAUUUCUCUGGUCUUUUUUUUUUAAUAUGAAUGUCAGAACCUUCUUUAUUAUUAUUAGUUCUCGUGAUUGAUUUGAAAACUGAUAUGAAAGAAGUUUAGGUCAUCAGUUGAUUCUAUAAUAAUUAUUUUUAUUAAAACAGUAUUUUUUUCUUUUAUUGAUUUGACGAGAGUCGAACAGAUUUGAUUGAUUUAAUAUUUUAACUGAUUUUAACUAAAAACUUUAAAUGUCGAAUUUCUAAAGGCCAAGCUGAUAAACUUCUAACAGACUACCAAACAUAUGUGGUGUGUGUGUGUGUGUGUGAAAUUAUUGUAAUUAAAAAAACAGUUGAAGAAGUAUUGUCAUAGAUUUCGGCAAACCUAGAAAACAUAGUAAAAUUACAUUUGAUUUGUACAUUGAAAUUAUCACUUUAGCUUUGUCAAGAAAAACUCAAUGCAAUUCAUUUUAAAGAUAUAAAAGUCUUUUUCAAUAUUAGAGACGAAAGGCCUCUCUUUUUUCAUAGUAAAAUUACAUAAUUAUUCUUAAAAAUAAAAAAAAAUAUUAAACUUAAUAUAGUAGUGUUUUAGUUUUUUUUUUUUCUCAACAUAGUAGUAGAAUGAUUUUAGUAUCUUAGAAAGCAAAAAUUACUAAACUUCUUUCAGGUUUUUUGUUUUAAUUUCAUUAAUUUUUUUUAAUAAUAAUCAAGUUGAUUUAGGACUAAUUUUAUAUUUUGAUAAAUAUAUAAUAUUAUUAAAAAAAUAAUGAUUUAACUGUGAUUAAUCCAUGGAAAUUAAAUCAAAUACAAAAAAAAAUUUAUAAAGGAUAAUAAAAUUAUGGUUGCCGAUGAGGGGAGGGUGUUUUAGAAUAUGGUAACGUUGCUUUUCAAAGUGUUUUUCGCUUAUAAAUUUAUUAAAAUAACAUAUAUAUCUUUUACUUUUGAAAAAUUAUUUUUGACAUUAACACAUUAAAACAAACAAAAAACAUAAACAAAAAAUUUUAAACAAAAAAAAAAUUUUUACCAAAAAAAAAAUUAAACCAUCCAGUCAAACACACCCAGAACAAAAUAAAGCAAGAAGAUGAAAGAGACGAGCAAAACAAGUCGAAAAGCUUUGAAUAAUGAAGGAUGUUCAUAUUCGUCAUUCAAUCGUCUAAUUGCAGACAUGAUGGAUAAUACACAUUCAAUAAAUUUUCUUUAACUUUAUUCCUUACUUAGCCUUGAUUUAAAAAAUGAACCCUGUAAGAAAGGGAAAAAAUUAAUUAAAUUCGAUUAAGGCUUAAUCCUCUUUUUUGUCACAGAUUUCCUCUUCUAUAUCUCAAAGAAUCGCUCUUCUCUUUCUCGCCGUGCAUCCAACAAUGAUAAAGGCACUUUCCCCUGCAACCCUUGACCUGCAAAAAUCAGCAAAAAAACCCCAUCAAUUUAAACAUUUGAUUUUUUUUUUUUUUUGGAAUGAGAGAAUCGCACGAACUUAACAAAAAAAACCUCAUCUUCCGAAAACAAAUCCCAAACGCAAACAUCAUUGCUGCUAUGUGGAGAGGGGAAAAAAAGUGAAAAAAAAUCAAGCAAUGCUCUCUCUCGGCAACAGAGAGGAGAGAAUAAGAUAAAACAAACAAGCUGUGGACAGGGGAGAGAGAAAGUGAACAAUUGACAAAGUAAUUGUAGUUGUAAGAAACCCACCAUUUCCUAAUGAGAUAUCCAUCUACAAAACACACCCGUCAGGAAGAAAAAAAUUGUAAUUGGCAAGACAUCAAGCCCACAUAGAAUAAGCCUGGUGCCUUGCAACAAAGACUAAGAAUUUUAUAUAUAUAUAUAUAUAUAUAUAUAUAUAUAUAUAUCAUAAAAAUGACAUCUUAGCAAUGAAAACUACAAUUAAAGUUGAUUCUGUUUUAAUUUUUUUUUGUUAACAAAAUUUAAUUUCUCCAAUAUUAUUGACAGGCAAUACUCAGCGGGUCAGGUUAAAUUUUGUUUAAUGUAAAAAAAUAUUUAAGCAUUGCUGCUUUUUCUAGUAGAAAAAAAUUGAUUCGAUGUAUCAAUGAUUUAAACCAAAACAUAGAUCUAGAUAAUAUAGAAUAUAGUUGUUAGACUCCGUUCACUAACAUAUUAAAAAAAAAUUUGAAUCCCCAAUUAUCAAGAUUAAUUUGUAUGUUACUAGCUUCCAUGUCAAUUAUUUUUAUUAAAAUAUCAGUAUUAUUUGGUUCUAGGCUUUUUUAAAAAAAACAAUUCUUAGUGUUGAUGUUUCUAGGUGAGUUAUUAACUAAGUUUUUGAAAAAAAUUAAAAUCACUACUUUUUCAAAUUAAUUUAUCAAAUCAUAUGAAGUCAAAUCAAGUUUAACCAUUAUAAUAUUAUGAUAUUUGAUUUUUUUUUCUUCAUUUAAAUUUCAAGAUUAGUGUUUAUUUUUUAAAAAAAAUACACCGAACUGAUAUAAAGAUAGAUUAUGUGUUUUUAAAGUUAUUCAAAACCUAAAUUUAAUCUUUAUUAACAUCAAUCUAUAUAUAUAUAUAUAUAAAAGCAUAGAAAAUUCAGCCCAUAAUAUGUAGUAAAAAACGUUGUCGUCUUCUACUUUGAAUUUCAUAAAAGAGAACUCAAUUUAAAUUUCUGACAGGGACGGCAUCCCAUUUUUUUGGGUCUUCUUGACGAAUUGUAAAAGCAGUCCACAAUCACAGCAAAGCCAUGACCUCACUCUUAUUCUUGUCCUGCUCGUAUAUAUUUUUGAACAAUAUAUUGCCAAUCUCAAGUCCACUAAUUACAGCCACAAACAGUGCCUUUAAAAAGGAUAUGAAAAUCAGUCUUUUACAUUCAACCCCACCUUGAAAUCCUCUAGCAAACAAAGAAAAAAAAAGGAGCUCAGUAGCAGAAUGAAGAAAGCUGAGCUGGUCUUCAUACCAACACCAGGUAUAAGCCACCUCGUAUCCACAGUAGAGGUAGCAAAGCUUCUUGUAGACCGUGAUGAGAGGCUUUCAAUCACCUUCCUCAUCAUGAAACUACGUUCUGACCCCAAGAUUGAUAGGUUUAUAAAUUCAGUGAGUACAGCCUGUAAUCGUAUCCGGUUCAUUGACUUGCCUAAAGAUGAGCCUGAUCCAAACCAACCCAGGAAGUUUCUCUUUUCUUUGAUUGAAGCCCAGAAACCCCAUGUCACAGAAGAAGUCUGUAAGCUUGUGAGUCAGUCGGAGUCAAGCCCUGACUCGCCUCCUCUUGCUGGGUUUGUUCUUGAUAUGUUUUGUACAUCUAUGAUAGAUGUGGCCAAUGAAUUUGGUGUUCCAUCAUAUAUUUUCCUUACGUCAGGUGCAGCUUUUCUUGGCCUUCAAUUUUAUGUUCAGGCUCUUCACGAUGACCGGAAAGUUGACCCUACUGAGUACAAGGGCUCGGAUGUUGAGUUGGUCAUGCCGUGUUUGGCAAAUCCUCUUCCAGCGAAGGUCUUGCCUUCUGUUAUGCUUAACAAAGAGUGGCUGCCAAAUAUGCUCAGUCAAGCUAGAAGGUUUAGAGAAACUAAGGGUAUUAUAAUAAACACAUUUGAAGAGCUGGAAUCUCAUGCGAUCAACUCCUUUUCUAAAGGUAAUAGCCCUCCGGUAUAUCCAGUGGGUCCCAUUUUAAACCUUAAUAGAGAUGGUGAUCGUGAGGAGGAGUCUGAUAAACGCAAAGACAUCAAGCAAUGGCUUGAUGAUCAGCCCCUGUCCUCAGUAGUGUAUCUAUGCUUCGGCAGCAUGGGGAGUUUCGGUGUGGAUCAGGUGAAGGAAAUCGCAUGUGGGCUAGAGCAGAGCGGCCACCGAUUCUUGUGGUCUCUACGUCAGCCACCACCGAAAGGUAAGAUAGAACCUCCAAGCGAUUACACUAAUCCUCGGGAGGUCUUACCUGAAGGAUUUUUGGAUCGGACGGCUAACAUUGGAAAAAUAAUUGGUUGGGCCCCACAGACAGAUAUUUUGGCCCAUCCAUCCGUACGAGGUUUUGUCUCCCACUGUGGAUGGAACUCUAUAUUGGAAAGCAUAUGGUUUGGCGUUCCAAUUGCCGCGUGGCCAUUAUAUGCAGAGCAACAACUGAAUGCCUUUCAAAUAAUUGUUGAGCUCGGAUUGGGAGUGGAGAUUAAAAUGGAUUAUAGAAGAGAGUUUAUCUCGGAUGGUAAUGAAAAUGUCAUUAGUGCCGGGGAGAUCGAGAGAGGAGUGAGGUGUUUAAUGGAGCUUUGCGAUGAGAAGAGGGAGAGGUUGAAGGAGAUGAGUGGAAAGGGCAAGAAGGCUUUGGAGAACGGUGGAUCCUCGUUCACUUGGUUAGGCCGUUUCAUUCAAGAUUCGGUGGACCACCUGCCAUGAUUAAAUUGUAUUCUCUUAAUUCGUAUUAUUUAAUACAAUCUUUUAGUUUACAUGUUAUCUUUUUUAAUAUAUAUGAGAUGACUUGCUUGUACGCUGUUAUAAUUUAAUAAAACAAAUAUAUUUAAUAAUAUUAUAAUUAUGAAUCAAUGUUAGAUAAUUGAUAAAAACUAAAAGUAUGAUGAAGCCAAUAUUUCAAGAUAGAAAAAAAGUUGUGUUAGUGAUCAAAAACUUAGAGACUGAACAAAAUGAUUUGUAGCAAUCUACAGUGUUUUGUGAGGAAAUAUACAGUGUUUUUACCAUAUGAUUUAGUUUUUCUGUUAAUAAAAAACAAAAAAAAAUUACAAAGCUAAAUUCUCUACCAACUUAAUAUUAAAAAAAAACCAACAAAGAUAAUUUUGGAAGGAAAAAAACCUAUGAGGAAAAACGUUGUAGCAAUUGAUAAUGUUUUGUGAGGAAAACUACACUGUUUUCUCCAAUAAAAUCGACAAAGACAAUUUUAGAAAAAAUCAUGAAAAAAUCAUUUAGACAAAUACUGUAGCAAUUAACAGUGUUUUGUGAGAAAAGCUACAACGCUUUCCCAUAUGAUUUAGCUUUAUUGUAAUUAUAAUUCUUAACCAGCUCAAUAUUAAAAAAAAUCAAAAAGAUGAUUUUGAAAAAAAUCAUAUGGGAAAACACAACAAUUCACAGUGUUUAAAAAAAAUUACAAAGCUAAAUUCUCAAUAAGCUCAAUAUUAAAAAAAAAAAAUCGACAGAGAUAAUUUUAGAAAAAGAAUAACAAAAAAAAUACAAAAAAGACAGGAAAAAAAAUCAUGUUGGAAACACUAUAGCAAUUCACAGUGUUUUGUGAUGAAAGUUACAGUGCUUCCCCACAUGAUUUAGCCUUAUCUGUAAUGAUUUGUAAUUGUAAUUCUAAACCAGCUCAAUAUUAAAAAAUAAAAUUCACAAAGAUAAUUUUGAAAAAAUCAUAAGAAAAAAAAAACCUUGUUGAGAGACACUCUAGCAAUCCACAGUGUUUUGUGAGGAAAGCUAUAAUGUUUUCUCCACAUAAUUAAUCUUUAUUACAAAGUUAAAUUCUAACUAACUUAAUAUUAAAAAAAUAAAAUCGACAAAGAUAAUUUUAAAAAAAAUAUUACAAAAAAGAAAACACAAAAGAACUGGAAAAAAAUCAUAUGGGAGAAAACACUAUGGCAAUCCACAGUAAUUUGCGAGUAAAGUUACAGUGUUUUCUCACAUAUUGUAACUGUAAUUUUUAACCAGCUCAAUAUUAAAAAAUAAAAUCGAAAAAGAUAAUUUCGGAGAAAAUCAUAAAAAAAAAUAAAAAAAAUCAUGCGGAGAAACACUGCAGCAAUCAACAAUGUUUUAAAAAAAAUUAUAAAACUAAAUUCUCAAUCGGCUCAAUAUUAAAAAAAAUAAAAUCAACAAAAAUAAUUUUGAAAAAUAAAAAAAUAAAAUAGAAAAACCAUGUGGGAAAACACCGUAGUAAUCCACAGUAUUUUAAAGAAAAAAAAUUACAAAGCGAAAUUUUUAACCAGCUGAAUAUUAAAAAGUAAAAUCGACAAUGAUAAUUAAAAAAAAUAAACAAAAAAAAUGGGAAAAAAGAAAAGUAAUUUUGGAAAAAUAAAAUAAAAAAUAAACAAAAAAAGGGGGAAAGUUGGAAAAAAAAAACAUAAAAGUACAAAAAAAAAUAAAAAAAUAUACUGUAAAUUACUAUUAUAAUCCAUAAAUAUGAAUAAACCGUAAAUCACCCGCACCCUUUAGCUUAUUUCUUAAUGUUAUCUUUAUGCAUGGGUGUAGGGGAGUUUGCCAUGUCUUAGGCCUAGGAAAGCAUGAAGUGCCCGGUCAUGCUUGAGGGGUGAUGGCAAAAAAUUCCUUAGGCUCAAUAAACUUGGAAAACACGUGUUGGGUCUAGAUACUGGGCUUGGCUAGACAUCAUCUAUGAGCUCUGGGCCAACAUCAAUAUCCAAGAAUUUCGUAUUCAGCUUCGGUCUUCAUACCAGCACCAGGUAUAAUCCAAAAGCUCAUAUUUGCAUGGUGUGCUUUUCUCGAAGCUCAUAUUGAAGCUCGUCGGUCAGGUCAAGAAGUUGCAUUCCACUAAUCUAACUUGGUUCGAGUGGCUUGGUCCCCUGACAAGGACAUCUCUUUCUCUGCUUUAGUCCAAAAGUCCGUCAUGACAUUUCUUUGAUUAGACGAUUAUCGGUGAUCCAGAAAUCCACAUAGAAUAGGCUUGGUGUCUUGCCACGAAGACUAAGAAUUAUAUAUAAAAAAUUUCAUAAAAAUGAUAUUUCUGCAAUCAAAACUACAAUUAAAGUUAAUUUUGUUUUAAUUAUUUUGUUGAUAAGAUUUAAUUUCCACAAGAUCAUUAGCUCAUACUUUCUAGCAAGUCAGAUUAAAUUUUAUUGAAUGUAAAAAAAUAUUUAAGCAUUGUUAAUGUUAUUUAUAACAGAAAAUAAAAUUAAAUUGAUGUCACCUGUUCAACUUGAAGGAUACAAAGAUAAUCUAGACAACAUAUAAUCUAGACAACAACCCUCUAAAAAAUAUGAUUUGACUAAAAACAAGAUGACAACAUAUUGACUUGAUCCAAAUCAAACUAGGUUAACCUACUAAUUUUACAACUAUGGUUAUAAGACCAUAAUAAUAAAACAUAAUUCUCAAUUAACUCAAUUUUAAAUGAUAAAAUUAAAAAAAAUCAAUUAAAAAAAAAUCUAAAAAUGGCAUGAUUUAACCCGGGCUAACUCGUCAAACUAUUGACUUGGUCAUGAGACCAGAAUAAUCUCAUAGAAAACAAAUUAAAAUAAGUUAUAAAAAUCAAUUUUCAAUCAACUCAAUGUUGAAGGAUGAAAUCUAAAAAGAAAAUACUCAAAUAAAAAGUACACAAAAAAUGACUUGAAUCAAUCUAGGUUAACACACUAUACCUAUUACCUGGAUCAUGAGACCACGAUAAUCUUAUAUGAACAAAAACAAAAACCACUUGGUCAUAAGGUUGAGAUAACCUUAUAAAAAAAAUAAUAUGAAGCAUAAUUUUCAAUCACCUCAAUGUUAAAAAAAAAAUUUAAAAAUAAUCAAGUUAAAAAGGAAAAUAAAGAAAACGACUCUAGUUAAUUUGAGUUAAUUUAUCAAGCUCGUAGCUUGAGUUAUGAUAUAAUAAUAACCUCAUAGAAACUAAACCAAAACAAAUCAUAAAAGCAAAAUUUCUCAUGAAUAAAAUAUUUUAGAAUGAAAUUGAUUAAAAGAAAGUCAAUAAAAAAAAGAAAUAAAAAUAAUAAAGUUAACCGGAUUAACAUGCUAAACCUGUGACUCGAGUUAUGAAGAUAGGAUGACCUCAAUCGAAAUAAAUCAUAAAAUCUAAUUUUUAAUAAAUUGAAUGAUAAAAUUAAUUUAAAAAAACAACAUAAAAUUACCAUCAAAAUAAUAAUUACUUUGUGAGGUGAUGUAAUGUGAAAACAACUUUUUUUUAAUGUUAACUAACAUGGAAAUAAAUCUAGCAACAUCAAAAUAAAUAAAUAAGUAUGGUUUGAAAAUUUAGCCCAUAAUAUGCAGUGAAGAAACAUUGUCCUUUUCUGCAUUAAAUUCCACAACUAGAAAACAUUCUAUAAUGAAUGCAUGUCGAGGAGUAUAUUAUUGUGGAGGUUAUUUUUUAAAGUUUUUUAUUUAAAAGUAUAUUAAGAUAAUAUUUUUAUUUUUUUAAUUUCUUUUAAUAUCAUUAUAUAAAAAUAAUCUAAAAGUAAAAAAAGGUAAAACUAUGAACAAAUAAUUCUUUAAAAAAUAUAGUUAUACGUCAAUGUCAAUCUCUACCUAUAUUUACGGCUAUCGAAUUUUGUAAUAGCUGUCCACCUUGACAGCAAGGUCAUGACCUUACUCUCCUACACCUGCAUCAUUGCUUAACAAAAUAUUUUAAAUCUCUCAAAUCCACUUAAUUAUAUAGCCACAAAUAUUGCACAUAAAAAGGAUAUAAAAUCAGACUCUUGCAUUCAAUCCCAUUCCCACCUUGAAUUCUCUACUCGUUGUUAACCAAAAAAAAAAAGAGGCUCAGUAGCAGAAUGAAGAAAGCUGAGCUAGUCUUCAUACCGACACCAGUUAUAAGCCACCUUGUAUCCACAGUGGAGGUAGCGAAGCUUCUUGUAGACCGUGAUGAGAGGCUUUCAAUCACCUUCCUCAUUAUGAAACUGUGCUCUUCCUCCAAGAUUGAUAGCUUCAUAGAUUCAGUGAGGACAGCCAGUAAUCGUAUCAGGUUCAUUGACUUGCCUCAAGAUGAGCCUGGUCCAAACCAACCCAACAAAACUUUCUUUUCUUUGAGUGAAACCCAGAAACCCCACGUCAAAGAAGAAGUCUCUAAGCUAGUGAGUCAGUCCGAGUCAAGCCCUGACACGCCUACACUUGCUGGGUUUGUUCUUGAUAUGUUUUGUACAUCUCUGAUAGAUGUGGCCAAUGAAUUUGGUGUUCCCUCAUAUAUCUUCCUUACGUCAGGUGCAGCUUAUCUUGGUCUUGUGUUUUAUAUUCAGGCUCUUCAUGGUGAGCAGAGAGUCGACCCUCUCGAGUUCAAGGACUCGGAAGCUGAAGUGGUCAUGCCUUGUUUGGCGAAUCCAUUUCCAGCCAGGGUCCUACCUUCUUUUUUGCUUAACAAAGAGUGGCUGGGUUCUGUCCUCGCUCAAGCUAGAAGGUUCAGGGAAAGUAAGGGUAUUAUAGUAAACACAUUUGAAGAGCUGGAAUCUCAUGCGAUCAACUCCUUUUCUAAUGGUAAUACCCUUCCUGUGUAUCCAGUGGGUCCCAUUCUGAACCUUAGUAGAGAUGGUCACCGUGAUGUGGAGUCUGAUGAAUUCAAAGACAUCAAGCAAUGGCUUGAUGAUCAGCCUCUAUCCUCAGUGGUGUAUAUAUGCUUCGGGAGCAUGGGAAGUUUCGGUGUGGAUCAGGUGAAGGAAAUCGCAUGUGGGCUGGAGCAGAGUGGCCACCGAUUCUUGUGGUCUCUACGUCAGCCACCACCGAAAGGCAAGAUAGAACCUCCAAGCGAUUACACUAAUCCUCAGGGCGUCUUACCUGAAGGGUUUUUGGAUCGGACGGCUAACACAGGAAAAAUAAUUGGAUGGGCCCCGCAGACAGAUAUUUUGGCCCAUCCAUCUGUAGGAGGGUUUGUAUCGCACUGUGGAUGGAACUCUAUAUUGGAAAGCAUAUGGUUUGGCGUUCCAAUUGCCGCGUGGCCAUUAUAUGCAGAGCAACAACUGAAUGCCUUUCAAAUAAUUGUUGAGCUCGGAUUGGGAGUGGAGAUUAAAAUGGAUUAUAGAAAAGAACUGAAGUCGGAUGGUAAUGAAAUUAAUGUCAUUAGUGCCGGGGAGAUCGAGAGAGGAGUAAGGUGUUUAAUGGAGCUUUGCGAUGAGAAGAGGGAGAGGUUGAAGGAGAUGAGUGGAAAGGGUAGGAAGGCUUUGGAGAACGGUGGAUCCUCGUUCACUUGGUUAGGUCGUUUCAUUCAAGAUUCGGUGGACCACCUGCCAUGAUUAAAUUGUAUUCUCUUAAUUCGUAUUAUUUAAUACAAUGUCUUUUAAUUUACAUGUUAUCUUUUUUGUUAUAAUUAUAGCUGUCGGAUCUUCCUGCGAAUUUAUAUGAAAAAUCCAAGAGGCUAUCAAGUGA